Molecule: ribosomal RNA, 253 nt
Filed under: uncultured Symbiobacterium sp.
Lineage: Bacteria; Bacillati; Bacillota; Clostridia; Eubacteriales; Symbiobacteriaceae
Description: partial 16S ribosomal RNA
Rfam family: Bacterial small subunit ribosomal RNA
Source: RNAcentral
UACGUAGGGGGCGAGCGUUGUCCGGAUUUAUUGGGCGUAAAGGGCGUGUAGGCGGUCUUUUAAGUCAGGGGUGAAACCCCGGGGCUCAACCCCGGGCCUGCCUCUGAAACUGAGGGACUUGAGUGCUCUAGAGGGCAGUGGAAUUCCCGGUGUAGCAGUGAAAUGCGUAGAGAUCGGGAGGAACACCAGUGGCGAAGGCGACUGCCUGGGGGGCAACUGACGCUGAGGCGCGAAAGCUGGGGGAGCAAACGGG